CAGUCGAACGGACUCAUAUUGAAACCUAGUGAUUUAUGAGUUAGUGGCGGACGGGUGAGUAACGCGUGGAUAACCUGCCGUAUACCGGGGGAUAACACUUAGAAAUAGGUGCUAAUACCGCAUAAGCGCACGGCUCCGCAUGGGGCAGUGUGAAAAACUCCGGUGGUAUACGAUGGAUCCGCGUCUGAUUAGCUAGUUGGCGGGGUAACGGCCCACCAAGGCAGCGAUCAGUAGCCGGCCUGAGAGGGUGGACGGCCACAUUGGGACUGAGACACGGCCCAAACUCCUACGGGAGGCAGCAGUGGGGAAUAUUGCACAAUGGGGGAAACCCUGAUGCAGCGACGCCGCGUGAGUGAAGAAGUAUCUCGGUACGUAAAGCUCUAUCAGCAGGGAAGAAAAUGACGGUACCUGACUAAGAAGCCCCGGCUAACUACGUGCCAGCAGCCGCGGUAAUACGUAGGGGGCAAGCGUUAUCCGGAUUUACUGGGUGUAAAGGGAGCGUAGACGGCAGCACAAGUCUGGAGUGAAAUCCCGGGGCUUAACCCCGGAACUGCUUUGGAAACUGUGCGGCUGGAGUGCAGGAGGGGUAAGCGGAAUUCCUAGUGUAGCGGUGAAAUGCGUAGAUAUUAGGAGGAACACCGGUGGCGAAAGCGGCUUACUGGACUGUAACUGACGUUGAGGCUCGAAAGCGUGGGGAGCAAACAGGAUUAGAUACCCUGGUAGUCCACGCCGUAAACGAUGAUUACUAGGUGUCGGGGGAUCAAGGUCCUCCGGUGCCGGCGCAAACGCAUUAAGUAAUCC
RNAcentral lists this ribosomal RNA (801 nucleotides) under uncultured bacterium. RNAcentral's name for it is "bacterial SSU rRNA". It matches the Rfam family "Bacterial small subunit ribosomal RNA", at positions 59 to 870 of the family's 1533-position model. The record is from RNAcentral.